CUGAGGAGCGAAAGCGUGGGGAGCGAACAGGAUUAGAUACCCUGGUAGUCCACGCCGUAAACGUUGGGCGCUAGGUGUGGGGGCCAUUCCACGGUCUCCGUGCCGCAGCUAACGCAUUAAGCGCCCCGCCUGGGGAGUACGGCCGCAAGGCUAAAACUCAAAGGAAUUGACGGGGGCCCGCACAAGCGGCGGAGCAUGUUGCUUAAUUCGAUGCAACGCGAAGAACCUUACCUAGGCUUGACAUGCACGGAAAUCUCCCAGAGAUGGGGGGUCCGUAAGGGCCGUGCACAGGUGGUGCAUGGUUGUCGUCAGCUCGUGUCGUGAGAUGUUGGGUUAAGUCCCGCAACGAGCGCAACCCUCGUUCCAUGUUGCCAGCACGUAGUGGUGGGGACUCAUGGGAGACUGCCGGGGUCAACUCGGAGGAAGGUGGGGAUGACGUCAAAUCAUCAUGCCCCUUAUGUCUAGGGCUGCAAACAUGCUACAAUGGCCGGUACAAAGGGCUGCGAUACCGUGAGGUGGAGCGAAUUCCAAAAAGCCGGUCUCAGUUCGG
This 550-nucleotide ribosomal RNA is filed under the name uncultured bacterium. Its description in RNAcentral is "bacterial SSU rRNA". It matches the Rfam family "Bacterial small subunit ribosomal RNA", at positions 746 to 1296 of the family's 1533-position model. The record is from RNAcentral.